This 424-nucleotide ribosomal RNA is filed under the name uncultured prokaryote. RNAcentral describes it as "bacterial SSU rRNA". It matches the Rfam family "Bacterial small subunit ribosomal RNA", at positions 355 to 774 of the family's 1533-position model. The record is from RNAcentral.
UUAAGAAUCUUGCGCAAUGGGAGCAAUCCUGACGCAGCGACGCCGCGUGAAUGAUGAAGGCCUUCGGGUUGUAAAGUUCGAUAAGCAGGGAAGAAUAAGUCCGGGGUAAUAUUCCGGAUGAUGACGGUACCUGCCUAAAGCCCCGGCUAACUACGUGCCAGCAGCCGCGGUAAUACGUAUGGGGCGAGCGUUGUUCGGAAUUAUUGGGCGUAAAGGGCGCCUAGGCGGGGGACUAAGUUAGUUGUGAAAGCUAUGGGCUCAACCCAUAAAUUGCAUCUAAGACUGGUUCUCUUGAGUUCGGGAGAGGAGAGCGGAAUUCCAGGUGUAGCGGUGAAAUGCGUAGAUAUCUGGAAGAACACCAGUGGCGAAGGCGGCUCUCUGGCCUAGGACUGACGCUGAAGCGCGAAAGCGUGGGGAGCGAACA